This 994-nucleotide ribosomal RNA is filed under the name Oidiodendron sp. RNAcentral describes it as "SSU rRNA". It matches the Rfam family "Eukaryotic small subunit ribosomal RNA", at positions 59 to 1062 of the family's 1831-position model. Lineage: Eukaryota; Fungi; Ascomycota; Leotiomycetes; Myxotrichaceae. The record is from RNAcentral.
UCUAGUAUAAGCAUCUAUACCGUGAAACUGCGAAUGGCUCAUUAAAUCAGUUAUCGUUUAUUUGAUAGUACCUUACUACUUGGAUAACCGUGGUAAUUCUAGAGCUAAUACAUGCUAAAAACCUCGACUUCGGAAGGGGUGUAUUUAUUAGAUAAAAAACCAGUGCCCUUCGGGGCUCUCUGGUGAUUCAUAAUAACUUAACGAAUCGCAUGGCCUUGUGCCGGCGAUGGUUCAUUCAAAUUUCUGCCCUAUCAACUUUCGAUUGUAUGGUCUUGGCUUACAAUGGUUUCAACGGGUAACGGGGAAUUAGGGUUCUAUUCCGGAGAGGGAGCCUGAGAAACGGCUACCACAUCCAAGGAAGGCAGCAGGCGCGCAAAUUACCCAAUCCCGACACGGGGAGGUAGUGACAAUAAAUACUGAUACAGGGCUCUUUUGGGUCUUGUAAUUGGAAUGAGUACAAUUUAAAUCCCUUAACGAGGAACAAUUGGAGGGCAAGUCUGGUGCCAGCAGCCGCGGUAAUUCCAGCUCCAAUAGCGUAUAUUAAAGUUGUUGCAGUUAAAAAGCUCGUAGUUGAACCUUGGGCCUGGCUGGCCGGUCCGCCUCACCGCGUGCACUGGUCCGGCCGGGCCUUUCCUCCUGGGGAGCCGCAUGCCCUUCACUGGGUGUGCCGGGGAACCAGGACUUUUACUUUGAAAAAAUUAGAGUGUUCAAAGCAGGCCUAUGCUCGAAUACAUUAGCAUGGAAUAAUAGAAUAGGACGUGUGGUUCUAUUUUGUUGGUUUCUAGGACCGCCGUAAUGAUUAAUAGGGAUAGUCGGGGGCAUCAGUAUUCAAUUGUCAGAGGUGAAAUUCUUGGAUUUAUUGAAGACUAACUACUGCGAAAGCAUUUGCCAAGGAUGUUUUCAUUAAUCAGUGAACGAAAGUUAGGGGAUCGAAGACGAUCAGAUACCGUCGUAGUCUUAACCAUAAACUAUGCCGACUAGGGAUCGGGCGAUG